AGAGUUUGAUCCUGGCUCACAGUGAACGCUGGCGGCGUGGCUAAGGCAUGCAAGUCGCACGGGGCUGUAAAGCCCAGUGGCGCAAGGGUGAGUAAUGGAUAGCUAACGUACCUUUAACCGGGGCAUAGCCAGUCGAAAGAUUGGGUAAUUCCCCAUAACGUCAUCGGGCAGCAUUGUUUGGUGAUCAAAGAUGAGGACCG
Molecule: ribosomal RNA, 200 nt
Filed under: uncultured bacterium
Lineage: Bacteria
Description: partial 16S ribosomal RNA
Rfam family: Bacterial small subunit ribosomal RNA
Source: RNAcentral